RNAcentral lists this ribosomal RNA (464 nucleotides) under uncultured bacterium. RNAcentral's name for it is "bacterial SSU rRNA". It matches the Rfam family "Bacterial small subunit ribosomal RNA", at positions 28 to 485 of the family's 1533-position model. The record is from RNAcentral.
GAUGAACGCUAGCGGCAGGCUUAAUACAUGCAAGUCGUGGGGCAGCAGCUCUGUAGCAAUACAGAGGCUGGCGACCGGCAAACGGGUGCGGAACACGUACACAACCUUCCUUUAAGUGGAGAAUAGCCCGGGGAAACCCGGAUUAAUACUCCGUAACAUAAUGAAGUGGCAUCACUUUAUUAUUAUAGCUCCGGCGCUUUAAGAUGGGUGUGCGACUGAUUAGGCAGUUGGCGGGGUAACGGCCCACCAAACCUACGAUCAGUAACUGGUGUGAGAGCACGACCAGUCACACGGGCACUGAGACACGGGCCCGACUCCUACGGGAGGCAGCAGUAAGGAAUAUUGGUCAAUGGACGCAAGUCUGAACCAGCCAUGCCGCGUGGAGGAUGAAGGUCCUCUGGAUUGUAAACUUCUUUUAUCUGGGAAGAAACCCACGAAUCUUUUGUGGUGACGGUACCAGAGAA